Molecule: small nuclear RNA, 163 nt
Organism: Schistocerca nitens (vagrant locust)
Lineage: Eukaryota; Metazoa; Arthropoda; Insecta; Orthoptera; Acrididae
Product: U1 spliceosomal RNA
Exons: 1
Source: RefSeq, a predicted model, not a curated record
GUACUUACCUGACGUAGGGGAUACCGUGAUCAUGAAUGCGGUUCGUCCCGGGUGAGGCUCUUCCAUUACACUUCGGUCGAGUUGACCCCCGCGAUUACUCCAAAUGUGAGGAACUCGUGCGCAUGCUUUUUGGUGAUCGGGACUGCGUUAGGGCUGCCCCGGU